Molecule: ribosomal RNA, 253 nt
Filed under: uncultured bacterium
Lineage: Bacteria
Description: partial 16S ribosomal RNA
Rfam family: Bacterial small subunit ribosomal RNA
Source: RNAcentral
UACGUAGGGUGCGAGCGUUGUCCGGAAUUAUUGGGCGUAAAGGGCGCGUAGGCGGUAGCACAAGUCAGUUGUGAAAUCUCCGGGCUUAACUCGGAAAGGUCAACUGAUACUGUGCGACUAGAGUGCAGAAGGGGCAACUGGAAUUCUCGGUGUAGCGGUGAAAUGCGUAGAUAUCGAGAGGAACACCUGCGGCGAAGGCGGGUUGCUGGGCUGACACUGACGCUGAGGCGCGAAAGCCAGGGGAGCGAACGGG